Molecule: long non-coding RNA, 225 nt
Filed under: Elaeis guineensis (African oil palm)
Lineage: Eukaryota; Viridiplantae; Streptophyta; Magnoliopsida; Arecales; Arecaceae
Description: long non-coding RNA (EGUI_LNC046572)
Source: RNAcentral
GGACAAAUUUCUCUGGACCCCUUCAGUGGUCGACCUUCCACAGUGCCCUCCAGACUCCUCCAGCGGACGAACUUCCACAAUACCUUUCGGACUCUCCUAUCGGCCGACCUUCUGUAGCACCUUUCGAAUUUUGCUGUCGGUCGACCUUCUGUCGGAUUCCUCAUGCAACCAGACCUCUCCAGCGGAUAAUCUUUAGAUGAGCUUUUACAUCAAACAAAUUUCAGA